This 255-nucleotide ribosomal RNA is filed under the name uncultured bacterium. RNAcentral describes it as "partial 16S ribosomal RNA". It matches the Rfam family "Bacterial small subunit ribosomal RNA", at positions 524 to 776 of the family's 1533-position model. The record is from RNAcentral.
GACAGAGGGUGCAAACGUUGCUCGGAAUCACUGGGCGUAAAGGGUGCGUAGGCGGCUCUUUAAGUCAGUGGUGAAAUACUGCAGCUCAACUGUAGCAUUGCCAUUGAUACUGAAGAGCUUGAGUACAGAUGAGGUAGGCGGAAUUUAUGGUGUAGCGGUGAAAUGCAUAGAUACCAUAAAGAACACCGAUUGCGAAGGCAGCUUACUAAGCUGUAACUGACGCUGGAGGCACGAAAGCGUGGGGGAGCGAACAGG